RNAcentral lists this ribosomal RNA (448 nucleotides) under uncultured bacterium. RNAcentral describes it as "SSU rRNA". It matches the Rfam family "Bacterial small subunit ribosomal RNA", at positions 26 to 518 of the family's 1533-position model. The record is from RNAcentral.
AGGGUGAAUGCUGGCGGUAUGGAUAAGGCAUGCAAGUCACGGGGGCCGCAAGGCAACCGGCAGACGAGGUAGUAACACGUAGGAACGUACCCCGAAGUCUGGUAUAGCUCGCCGAAAGGCGGGGUAAUCCCAGAUAGUCUCGUAAGAGUAAAGAUCCGUCGCUUCGGGAGCGGCCUGCGUAAUAUCAGCUAGUUGGUAAGGUAAUGGCUUACCAAGGCUACGACGUUUAGGGGAGCUGAGAGGCUGACCCCCACCGAUGAGACUGAGAACGGCUCAUACCCCUACGGGGGGCCGCAGCCGAGAAUAUUCGACAAUGGGCGAAAGCCUGAUCGAGCGAUACCGCGUGGUGGAUGAAGUGCUUCGGCACGUAAACACCUUUUAUGGAGGAGGAAGUAAUUGACGUUACUCCAUGAAUAAGGGGCUACCUAACUCUGUCGCCAGCAGCCGC